CCUGCGUGGCGCAGCAGUGGGGAAUAUUGGACAAUGGGCGAAAGCCUGAUCCAGCCAUGCCGCGUGUGUGAAGAAGGCCUUCGGGUUGUAAAGCACUUUCAGUGGGGAAGAAAGCCUUGGGGCUAAUACCCUCGAGGAAGGACAUCACCCACAGAAGAAGCACCGGCUAACUCCGUGCCAGCAGCCGCGGUAAUACGGAGGGUGCGAGCGUUAAUCGGAAUUACUGGGCGUAAAGCGCGCGUAGGCGGUCUGAUAAGCCGGUUGUGAAAGCCCCGGGCUCAACCUGGGAACGGCAUCCGGAACUGUCAGGCUAGAGUGCAGGAGAGGAAGGUAGAAUUCCCGGUGUAGCGGUGAAAUGCGUAGAGAUCGGGGGGAAUACCAGUGGCGAAGGCGGCCUUCUGGACUGACACUGACGCUGAGGUGCGAAAGCGUGGGUAGCAAACAGGAUUAGAUACCCCUGUAGUC
RNAcentral lists this ribosomal RNA (465 nucleotides) under Vreelandella stevensii. RNAcentral describes it as "partial 16S ribosomal RNA". It matches the Rfam family "Bacterial small subunit ribosomal RNA", at positions 338 to 795 of the family's 1533-position model. The record is from RNAcentral. Lineage: Bacteria; Pseudomonadati; Pseudomonadota; Gammaproteobacteria; Oceanospirillales; Halomonadaceae.